RNAcentral lists this ribosomal RNA (436 nucleotides) under uncultured bacterium. RNAcentral's name for it is "bacterial SSU rRNA". It matches the Rfam family "Bacterial small subunit ribosomal RNA", at positions 958 to 1397 of the family's 1533-position model. The record is from RNAcentral.
AACGCGAAGAACCUUACCUACCCUUGACAUGGUCGGAACCCUGCUGAAAGGUGGGGGUGCUCGAAAGAGAACCGAUACACAGGUGCUGCAUGGCUGUCGUCAGCUCGUGUCGUGAGAUGUUGGGUUAAGUCCCGCAACGAGCGCAACCCUUGUCCCUAGUUGCUACGCAAGAGCACUCUAGGGAGACUGCCGGUGACAAACCGGAGGAAGGUGGGGAUGACGUCAAGUCAUCAUGGCCUUUAUGGCCGGGGCUACACACGUGCUACAAUGGCAGGUACAGAGGGAAGCCAACUCGCGAGAGGGAGCCAAUCCCAGAAAGCCUGUCGUAGUCCGGAUCGGAGUCUGCAACUCGACUCUGUGAAGUCGGAAUCGCUAGUAAUCGCAGAUCAGCAUUGCUGCGGUGAAUACGUUCCCGGGCCUUGUACACACCGGCUAC